AGCAGCCGCGGUAAUUCCAGCUCCAAUAGCGUAUAUUAAAGUUGUUGCAGUUAAAAAGCUCGUAGUUGAAUUUCGGGAUUUGUCAGUUGGUCGGGCUUCACUGUCCGUACUGGCUUGAUGGAUUCUUACCUUCUGAAUAACCAGCAUGCUAUUAAGUUAGUGCGUUGGGGAAGCAGAUCUAUUACCUUGAAAAAAUUAGAGUGCUUAAAGCGGGCUUGUGCUUGAAUAGAUUAGCAUGGAAUAAUAAAAUAGGACGGCAUGGUUCUAUUUUGUUGGUUUCUAGGAUCACCGUAAUGAUUAAUAGGGAUAGUUGGGGGCAUUAGUAUUCAAUUGUCAGAGGUGAAAUUCUUGGAUUUAUUGAAGACUAACUUCUGCGAAAGCAUUUGCCAAGGAUGUUUUCAUUAAUCAGGAACGAAAGUUAGGGGAUCGAAGACGAUCAGAUACCGUCGU
RNAcentral lists this ribosomal RNA (450 nucleotides) under uncultured Glomeromycotina. RNAcentral describes it as "SSU rRNA". It matches the Rfam family "Eukaryotic small subunit ribosomal RNA", at positions 569 to 1021 of the family's 1831-position model. The record is from RNAcentral. Lineage: Eukaryota; Fungi; Glomeromycota.